CCUCUCAUCCUCUGCUCUCUCUCUCUCUCUAUGGCGAUUCCUAGCGACUUCAUCAGGCCUCUCUCUCGGAUCUCACCAGAUCUCUCACCAGAUCUGUGAGGAUUUCACCAGAUCGAUGAACUUUUUUCAGGUUUGAAUAGAUAGGGGUUUGAUCGAUUGGUAGAUCCUUUGUGAUAAUCUAUUUACCAAGCCCAAUAUUGGUCCGCAAAUUAAUGCAUCAACAGUUGGGAAAGCUCUGGUUGUGGAUAUCUGUUGGAGCACUCCUUGGGUUUUUGAUUAUCUUCAACAUAUUCUUUAUCGUAGCACUAACUUCCCUGAAUCCCCCGGUGUGAUGCUAAACCUGUGAUCAGAGAGGAAAAUAUAUAAAGAACUCAAAAAAUAACAGCUUACAGUAGGCUCAGCUGGUAUGGCCAAUCACAUAAGCUUUGGUGGACCUCCCGUGAAAACCGAGACAGCUGAAGGAGCAGGAGAAACAGGUAUUCAAUAACAGUUACUCACAAAAAGAUCACUUUGAGGUCUUCCCAGAAAGGGUUUUGGGUAAGUAUCCAUCGCCUGUUAUGGGUCUGUUAGUGUAUCAAAGAGAUUAGAUUUCCUUUUUAAUGUCUUUAAAGGUGCAAGUGGAGAAUUGAAGUUGGUUUGACUUGACUUGUGGAGACAGAUUAGGCCGGGCAAUUGCAUGGAUUAAAUGAUUUAAACUAUGUCACUUGUCUUUCGUGCCUCUUCUGUAAAUGUGAAUCAAGAACUACAAACAAGUUUGCAUCAUUUGUAUUUGUUUUCUAUGGAUUUGUUCUCUUUCAAAUUGGAAUUAACUAUGGAGGUAUUUUCUAUGAAUUUGUUCAUUGGAAUGGAGUUGUUGAACAGGAAGUUGCUUAGUGGGUUUACUGGCACGAGACCACUGAAAAUGAAACACAUGAGGUCAUUAGUGGCCAUUUGGGGUGGGUGAGAUCUGUUGCGUUUAGUCCAAAUAACGAGUGGUUCUGUACCGGUUCUGCAGAUCGAACGAUUAAGAUUUGGGAUACUGGAUCAGGACGGUUAAGGUUGACACUAACAGGGCAUAUAGAACAAGUUAGAGGCACGGAACCCUGCUACUUUUCUUCAUGCGUACACUUGUCUUCCCCUUGCUUACGCUACAAGGCAAGCUGCUGGUGCUAUUUUGCAAGAUGUUGCUGAUACGGGUGUCGUUUUUGUGACAUUGAUGUUCAAAGACAAGGUUGUUAGUCUGGUAGGCUUGCAGAAAUCAUCACUUCAUCCUGAUGAUAUGUUACUGCUGGCUAACUUCGUCAUGUCAUGUCAUGUCAUCUGAAUCUUUUAGAGAUUUGACGAUAGCAUCCAUCAUACAACAAAUAUAACCGAGUUCAAUAACGGUAUAUUUGAUAAGCUAAUGGAAGAAUCAAAAGAGCUAGAAAAUCAUGCUAAUCACGUUGACAAGAUACAUACAAAGAAUAUCAAUGACUUUCACAAGGCGUACGAGUCUGAUGAGAUACAACAGAAGGCACAUGAUACUUUGCAGCAGAAGUAUAUGGAUUAUGAACCAUCUGGUAAUACUUUCAUAAGAUGCGACCCUGCUGUUCCAAGUAAGGAUACCAUAGAGUCGCUUCGGGCAAUGCCGAUGGAAACUCUAUUGGAGGAAUUCAGGGAAAACCAUUCAUUUGAGUUAUUGGAAGUUAAGGACGGCAAGAUUACUCCUGCUUCUCAAUCACCUCUUUCAGAAAUAAACUAAACAUCAUAGUGUUGUGAUUUAUUUUGGUCUCUUUGUACUUGUUACUAUGUAUAUUGUGAAAAUUGAAGAGAGAGUAUGAUAGAUGGAUCAACUCAGAUAAUCCCUGCUUGGGAUUUAUUGUUCUGUUUUCACCAAUGUAGUAGAGGGGUUUCAUUUUUGAAUCACAUUUCAUUUUAUGAUUUUUCUUCA
Helianthus annuus (common sunflower) is the source of this 1909-nucleotide RNA transcript. It is a transcript of the gene named kinesin-like protein KIN-5C, with no coding region annotated. The record is from RefSeq and is a predicted model, not a curated record. NCBI's taxonomy places the organism in Eukaryota, Viridiplantae, Streptophyta, Magnoliopsida, Asterales, Asteraceae. The transcript has 12 exons.